AUACGUAGGUGACAAGCGUUAUCCGGAUUUACUGGGCGUAAAGGGCGUGUAGGCGGUCUUGCAAGUCAGAAGUGAAAUUCCUGAGCUCAACUCGGGCGCUGCUUCUGAAACUGCAGGACUUGAGUGCUGGAGGGGAUAGCGGAAUUCCUAGUGGAGCGGUAAAAUGCGCAGAUAUUAGGAAGAACACCGGUGGCGAAGGCGGCUAUCUGGACAGUAACUGACGCUGAGGCGCGAAAGCGUGGGGAGCAAACAGGAUUAGAUACCCUGGUAGUCCACACUGUAAACGAUGAAUGCUAGGUGUAAGAGGUAUCGACCCCUUUUGUGCCGGAGUCAACACAAUAAGCAUUCCGCCUGGGGAGUACGGCCGCAAGGUUGAAACUCAAAUGAAUUGACGGGG
This 397-nucleotide ribosomal RNA is filed under the name uncultured bacterium. RNAcentral's name for it is "partial 16S ribosomal RNA". It matches the Rfam family "Bacterial small subunit ribosomal RNA", at positions 523 to 918 of the family's 1533-position model. The record is from RNAcentral.